Molecule: long non-coding RNA, 399 nt
Organism: Cyprinus carpio carpio
Lineage: Eukaryota; Metazoa; Chordata; Actinopteri; Cypriniformes; Cyprinidae
Source: Ensembl
GGGCAAUUAAAACUAAACUCUGACUCGGCCCUCCAGAUGGGCUAUGGCCGGGAAGAGGUCAGGGAGCAAGGGGGCCACGGGGAUCCGGGGCGUGGGACUCGGGCCCCGGCCUGAGUCUUAGGUAUCCGUAGCGCCCUCCUUCUUCCUCCUCUUCGCUGAAUACAGCUCACGGUAAGUACUGGUUCACACAGUUCGUUCUCGAGGUGCUCACUCUCUUUCUCUUCCUCCACAGGCAACGGCUGGGACACAAAAGCACAGUUAAUUCGGCUUGGUUUUGCUCUCACCUCUUCGCUGAUUACAGCUCACAGUAAGUACUGGUUCACACAGUUCGUUCCUUGGGUGCUCACUCUCUUUCUCUUCCUCCACAGGCAACGGCUGGGACACAAAAGCACAGUUAAU